This 654-nucleotide ribosomal RNA is filed under the name Staphylococcus sp. RNAcentral describes it as "bacterial SSU rRNA". It matches the Rfam family "Bacterial small subunit ribosomal RNA", at positions 208 to 852 of the family's 1533-position model. Lineage: Bacteria; Bacillati; Bacillota; Bacilli; Caryophanales; Staphylococcaceae. The record is from RNAcentral.
UUUGCUAUCACUUAUAGAUGGACCCGCGCCGUAUUAGCUAGUUGGUAAGGUAACGGCUUACCAAGGCAACGAUACGUAGCCGACCUGAGAGGGUGAUCGGCCACACUGGAAACUGAGACACGGUCCAGACUCCUACGGGAGGCAGCAGUAGGGAAUCUUCCGCAAUGGGCGAAAGCCUGACGGAGCAACGCCGCGUGAGUGAUGAAGGGUUUCGGCUCGUAAAACUCUGUUAUUAGGGAAGAACAAAUGUGUAAGUAACUGUGCACAUCUUGACGGUACCUAAUCAGAAAGCCACGGCUAACUACGUGCCAGCAGCCGCGGUAAUACGUAGGUGGCAAGCGUUAUCCGGAAUUAUUGGGCGUAAAGCGCGCGUAGGCGGUUUCUUAAGUCUGAUGUGAAAGCCCACGGCUCAACCGUGGAGGGUCAUUGGAAACUGGGAAACUUGAGUGCAGAAGAGGAAAGUGGAAUUCCAUGUGUAGCGGUGAAAUGCGCAGAGAUAUGGAGGAACACCAGUGGCGAAGGCGACUUUCUGGUCUGUAACUGACGCUGAUGUGCGAAAGCGUGGGGAUCAAACAGGAUUAGAUACCCUGGUAGUCCACGCCGUAAACGAUGAGUGCUAAGUGUUAGGGGGUUUCCGCCCCUUAGUGCUGCAGC